RNAcentral lists this ribosomal RNA (280 nucleotides) under uncultured bacterium. Its description in RNAcentral is "partial 16S ribosomal RNA". It matches the Rfam family "Bacterial small subunit ribosomal RNA", at positions 335 to 600 of the family's 1533-position model. The record is from RNAcentral.
ACUCCUACGGGAGGCAGCAGUGGGAAUAUUGCACAAUGGGGAAAGCCCAUCGAUGCAGCCAUGCCGCGUGUGUGAAGAAGGCCAUUCGGGCUUGGUUAAAGACACUUUUCAGCGAGGAGGAAAGGGUGUGUGUUAAUACCAUACAUCUGUGACGUUACUCGCAGAAGAAGCACCGGCUAACUCCGUGCCAGCAGCCGCGGUAAUACGGAGGGUGCGAGCGUUAAUCGGAAUUACUGGGCGUAAAGCGUGCGCAGGCGGUUUGUUAAGCGAGAUGUGAAAG